This is a long non-coding RNA of Pezoporus flaviventris, 1180 nucleotides long. RefSeq lists it as uncharacterized. The record is from RefSeq and is a predicted model, not a curated record. The transcript has 2 exons. NCBI's taxonomy places the organism in Eukaryota, Metazoa, Chordata, Aves, Psittaciformes, Psittacidae.
AUCAGGGAAGACAAAGGGACAACCCCACACACAAUACAGCAACGUGGAGUCUGCAGGAAAACUCAGUAAAGCAGUGUGGAGAAAGAAUACUCCAAAGUGGCAUGAAUUAUACACUGAGAGUGUCACAGCUUCAUUUGUAUUCUUCACUUUACUCAGCAGCAUUCUCAGCACUUACUGUGCCCGUGACAUCACCUGAGAGAAACUUCUAAAGGCUCUGUGGGACAUACACUUGCUAGUAAGACAUUCUGAUGGCAAAAGGUUUGUGCAAGUAUAACUCAGAGUGUAAACUGGUCUGAAGAAUCUGAAUUGUUGUUGAUGAAGCAGAAGUAGAGUUGAGGGUGAGUCUGUGAGCUAGAAAAAUAUAUCUUCUUUUAUUCUAAACAUAAAGAAAUCUGGUAUUUGCAUCUGCAGGAGAAUGAACUGGCAGCCCAAAGUGACUUAGUGCUGAAUAACUUUUCCAAUAACUAUCUGAGCUGCAAUGAGAUAAUAAUGCACCAGGUCUUUAGAGGGCAAGAGUUGGUGAUUCAGUCUCUGUGUGAUGCAGGUGGCUCCUACUCCACCCACAUAUAAAAGGGGAUGGUGUGGCUCCUGUAAGGACAGAUGAGCCUUUGCGAUUGAGAAGUUUGAAAGCAGUCAAAUUGCAAGAGGCUUAAGGUUCUGUUUUCUGUGAAUCCCCUUUAAGGACAGGAAAGCUUUAGGAAGGGGGCAACUGUGGAAAUUUGGGUGGAAAUGCUGGUGAUAGUGCAGGGUAAGAGCUAGCCUAUUGUAUGAUCAUACCAACACAUGGACCAGAAUGCAACUUCACACAGCUUUUAAAGUCACAGGGAUGUCAUAUUUGGUGGGUUCUUGUUGGGGAUGAGGGUGUUGCAGAGAUGGCUGCAGGCUGCCAAGUUGUACAAUUCUACUUAGAUGGCUUCAUAUCAAGAAAUAGUAAUGAAUGAGUAAACUUACUGUACUGAGCAACCCACUAAACUGUACAGAGUAGCAAAACUAGCUCCCUCUUUUGGUCUGCUGGAAAUAAUGAAGUGAAACAAGUUCUAUAGUUGCAUAAGAACAACUUGACUUUCUUACACAAGAACAAAUUGUCUAUUGCUUCCCUAAGUAAUCACCUUUCCUAAGCAAGUUGUGUUUGUUACCUGCCAUUUUGUCUGGUCACUAAUAAAUGGUUGGUGUGCACAGA